UACGAAGGGGGCUAGCGUUGUUCGGAAUUACUGGGCGUAAAGCGCACGUAGGCGGGUCGUUAAGUCAGGGGUGAAAUCCCGGAGCUCAACUCCGGAACUGCCUUUGAUACUGGCGAUCUUGAGAUCGGAAGAGGUGAGUGGAAUUCCCAGUGUAGAGGUGAAAUUCGUAGAUAUUGGGAAGAACACCGGUGGCGAAGGCGGCUCACUGGCUCGUUUCUGACGCUCAGGCGCGACAGCGUGGGAUCAACAGG
Molecule: ribosomal RNA, 251 nt
Filed under: uncultured bacterium
Lineage: Bacteria
Description: partial 16S ribosomal RNA
Rfam family: Bacterial small subunit ribosomal RNA
Source: RNAcentral